UAGUUCCUAAAUAUAUUUAUCCAACCUAGUUACUUAACAUGUAAUAUCUACUAUUUAUAUAUAAAGUAGUUCCUAAAUGUAAUAUUGAAUAUAUUUAAUCUUCUACAUAAGUGCACCCCACUGAUUUCUCCUCUAAUUGCAAUUGACACACUGUUUUUAGCUCCUUGAUCAUCAGAGGUAAAUGGUUUGCUAAACCCGGAGGCUUUGUCAUUGCAUUCUACAUUUUUCAGUCCUUUCUCCAUCAAUGGAUCAUCCCUACAACCCUGUUCACCACCAACAGAUCCAUUUUCUUUAUCGUUGGUUGCUAUAUUAGCCUGGUGAGCAUUCUUUGCUUCAGUUAGUCUACCAUCAGCUUCAUUCUUAUCAGAUUUUGGUAACCUUGAAUUCAUUGAAAGAGAGUCUCCAUGAGGGCUUCUGUCACCCCCUAUGCUUGGUACACCAAAAUUGCAAACAUUAUGCCCAGCUUUUCUAUCCUCUGUCCUUUCUGUUGCAUCAGACUGGGUAGG
This 506-nucleotide long non-coding RNA is filed under the name Vigna radiata. RNAcentral describes it as "long non-coding RNA (VRAD_LNC008383)". The record is from RNAcentral. Lineage: Eukaryota; Viridiplantae; Streptophyta; Magnoliopsida; Fabales; Fabaceae.